Rattus norvegicus (Norway rat) is the source of this 7558-nucleotide non-coding RNA. The record is from RefSeq and is a predicted model, not a curated record. Lineage: Eukaryota; Metazoa; Chordata; Mammalia; Rodentia; Muridae.
ACUGGAAGAUGAUGUCACAAACAUCAACUGGGUGUACUCUCAUUGGCUUCUGUUACCUGGAAUCAUAUCUUAACCCUAAACUGUCAGCUGAAAAGCGAAACGCUUCUCUCUUGCUAUUAUUUCUGCUGAAAAGAAGCGUGGGGAGUCUAAACAAGUUAUUGGAGGAUGAGAUACUGAAAAUGCUGCCCUCCAAGCGCAUGUCCAGUGGGAGAGGAGGAUAGUGGUAUAAGCUGGUUAUAGCAGCUUGCUGCCAGGGGGACAAAACUACAAUCCGCUUUCUCCACCCAAAGAAGCUGUCAGAGGGAUCAUUGUGUGAUGCAAGAAUUACCAGAGCUAUUCAGUGACCAAGCACCUACUAAAUCCAGUGCUGCCUUAUCUCAAGGCAAACCCUUUGAAAGCCUCACAGUUCAGGAAACAGCAAGUAGGAGUACUAGGGAGAGAGUAAGGAGAUUCACUUCAUCCAUGCCCACCUUCAGGAAGGGGGAAUACCAUUGAUGCCUGGUGUGCUUCAUUUCCCCCUGAAGGAUGGACUCCAGUGCAGCUGUAAGAAUGGUAGUGGAAGGAGUGAAAGAAUAUCAGACCUGAAGCAGUUAUGAAGAUGAAGGCUAAGACUAGAGAAAUAUGGGGGCAUAAAGAAUCCAGGAAAUCACCAUGAGAGCAAAUGGACUCUGCGCUAUGCUCACCCAUUGCAGGUUGCUGUUCUUCAGACAAACAAAUCAUCCUGUUAAAUGCUUCUCAUUUUCUAUGAAAAUUAAUUAUAAAGGUAAGUGGUUUAAUUUUGAUUCACAGGUUUGUAGGUUCCUACUCAAGUUGGGGCCACAAGUUAUUGUAUUUAGGGUCCUAUGACCAGCACCUCAGUAUAGUAAAACCUCCGGCAAGACAAUAAUGCUCAUGUUUUGGCCAGAAAGUUGAAGGGAAGGAGAAAGUUCCUGUGUUUUUAUACUUUAUGAAUGUCACACACCUCUGAACUGCUAUCUUACAAGGAAGAUUUCCACUGUCUCCCAGUCUGGCUACCCUGGGAACUGCACCUUUAAGUAUGUGGCCAUCUGUGAGAUGUGCAGCAUCUAAAUUAUAAUGAUUUCUAUCUACAUAAUUCUCAAUAUCUUUAUUUGUAUCAUUAUAUACUACUAAACUUCUGAUAAUUUGUUAUUUUUGCCAUAGGAAACAGUACAGUUGCACAAUAGCUGUGGAGUAAGUAAUCAGUUGAAAUUAUUGAAAAAAAAAAGGUGACAUGCCGGAUUUCCAUUUCAUGGAAUGGUACAUUUUAAUUUUAAAUAUGGUUAUGUUUUUCUUUCAUAAAUUUUUUAUACAGUAUACUCCAGUUUUGCUUUCCUUCCCCAAACUCAUUCCAAUUCCUCAGUACCUCUGGCCCAUCCUGAUCCAUACUGUUUCUGUCUUUAAAAAAUGUAGUGAUGAUAUGGUUGCUAAUGAUAUUCUUCUAUAGUCAUAGAUUAGUAAGUAUAAUCCUUAUUCAGCAGCCAACAGAGAAACUUCCUAGAGCAGCAGAUGGGAACUGAUAGAGAGACCAAUAGCCAGACAUUAGGAAGUAGGAAAGAGAACUUAGAAAAUUCAGCUUGAAAUAAAACAUCCUUAUCAAAUCCCUUCCCUCAAAACUCAGGGAACCUGGAAAGAAGAGGCAGAAACAAUGUAAGAACCAGAGGAAAUGGAGAACACCAGGAGAACAGGGCACUCUGAAUAAAUUGAGCAAGGGCAUAUGAGUUCAUAGAGACUGAAUCAACAGUCACAGGGCCUGCCAGGGAAGGGGAAGGGUCCUCUGUGGUAUUAUAGCUUUCAGUUUAUAUAACAGAAUAUAUCUUAUAUAUGGUUAUAUAUUAUUGCUUUCAGUUUAAUGUUUAUAUACAACUGUAAGGGGUGAGAACAGUGGGUCCCUGAUUCUUCUUUUUUCUCUUGGGUUCUCUUCCUUUUUUUGGCUUACCUUUUCCAACUUCAGUGUGAUAGGUUUUGUUUUAUGUUACAUUUAAUUUUGUUAAAAAAGAAAACAAGCAGACAUCUAAGGAAUGAAAAAACUAAACUAAAACCAAAAUGACUAAUUUAGAAUAGGGUACAGAAGGAGGAGGAAGAGGAGGAGGAGGAAAAAGCCAAAGAAAAACCAAGAUACAGAUGAUUAUGGUUAUAUUUUUAAAGAAUAAAAAUGAGCAAUAUAGCUGCUGGGGCCCUGAACUGAACUGAGCUGGUCAAACAGCACCCUGCACUCAAAUCCCAUGGGGGAGAGAGCUGGACCCUCAGAAGUGCUGACACGCCUGAGAACUGAGAGGAAACUACAUUCUGCUCACAUUCCUGACCCAAGAGGGGAUCACCUAGUGCCAUUUGUGCCCCCUGGGCACAGGGACCUAGGACCAGUCAGGAACAGGACCCUUCAGGUUUCUGCCUGUGCCCAGAGCUGAAAGCCAGUCUCCAGGAGCUCCUACACAGCCAAGAGCAGAGCUCUCUAUUCCCAGAUCCAGCUGAAAGUAAACAAGUCUACAGGAAUGCUGACAUGUAAGCCUAGAGGAGGGUCAAGCCACUGUCUGGGACUCCAAGAUAAGCUAACACCAGAGACAACCUGAUGUCAAGAGGCAAGCGCAGGAAACUAAGCAACAGAAACCAAGACUACUUGGCAUCAUCAGAGUCCAGAUUUCCCACCAAAGCAAAUACUGGAUAUUCAAACACACCAGAAAAACAAGAUUUUGAUUUAAAAUCACAUUUAUGGUGAUGAUGGAGGACUUUAAGUAGGACAUAAAUAACUCCCUUAAAGAAAUACAGGACAACACAAGUAAAGAAGUAGAAGCCCUUAAAGGGAAACACAAAAAUCCCUUAAAGAAUUACAGGAAAGCACAAGAAAACAGGUGAAGGAAUUGAACAAAACAGUCAAGGAUUUACAAAUGGAAAUAGAAACAAUAAAGAAAGCAUAAAGGGAGACAACUAUGCGGAUAUAAAACCUAGGGAAGAGAUCAGGAAUCAUAGAUGUAAGCAUCACAAACAGAAUACAAGAUAGAAGAGAGAAUCUCAGGAACAGAUGGUACCAUAGAAAAAAUUGACACAACCAUCAAAGAUAAUGUAAAACACAAAACGCACCUAGUCCAAAACAUCCAGGAAAUCCAGGACACAAUGAGAAGUUCAAACCUAAGGAUAAUAGGCAUAAAAGAGAGUCAAGACUCCCAAUGUAAAGGGCCAGUAAAUAUCAACAAAAUUAUAGAAGAAAAAUCCCUAACCUAAAGAAAGAGAUGCCCAUAAACAUACAAGAAUAAAGAACUUCAAAUAGAUUGGACCACAAAAGAAAUUUCUCCAGUCCAUAAUAGUCAAAACGCCAAAUACAAAAAGCAAAGAAUAUUAAAAGCAGUAAAGGAAAAAUGUCACAUAACAUAUAAAGGCAGACCUAUCAGAAUUAUACCAGACUUCUCACCAGAGACUAGAAAGACAGAAAGUCCUGGGGAGAUGUCAUACAGACCCUAAGAGAAUAAAAAUGCCAGCCUAGGCUACUAUAUCCAGCAAAACUCUCAAUUAACAUAGAUGAAGAAACCAAGAUAUUCCAUGACAAAACCAAACUUGCACAAUAUCUUUCUACAAAUCCAGCACUACAAAGGAUAAUAGAGCGAAGUUCCAACACAAGAAGAGAAACUACAUCUUAGAGAAAGCAAAAAAGUACUCUCCAUGCAACAAAACCAAAAGAAGAGAGACACACAUCAUAAUUUCACCUCUAACAACAAAAAUAACAGGAAGCAACAAUCACUGUUCCUCGGUAUCUCUUAACAUCAAUAGACUCAGUUCGGCAAUACAAAAACAUAGACUAACAGACUGGAUACAUAAAGAGGACCCUGCAUUCUGCUGCCUACAGGAAACACACCUCAGAGACAAAGACAGACACUACCUCAGAGUGAAAGGCUGGAAAACAACUCUCCAAGCAAAUGGUCCAAAGAAACAAGCUUCAGUAGCAAUUCUAAUAUGGAAUACAAUUGAUUCUCAACCAAAAGUCAUCAAAAAAGAUAAAGAAGGACACUUUAUAUUCAUCAAAGGAUAAAUCCACCAAGAUGAACAAUAAUCCUAAAUAUCUAUGUUCCAAAAACAAGGCAUCUAUAUUCGUAAAAGAAACCUUAGUAAAGCUUAAAUCACACAUUGCACCUUACACAAUAAUAGGAGAUUUCAACACCCCACUCUCAUUCGUGGACAGAUCAUGGAAACAAAAAUUAAACAGAGACAUACAGAAACUAACAGAAGUUAUGAAACAAAUGAACUUAACAAAUACUUUUAGAAUAUUUCAUCCUAAGGAUAUAACUUCUCUGUACCUCAUGGUAUCUUCUCCAAAACAGACCAUGAAGUUAGUCCCAAUACAGGCCUCAUCAGAUACAGGAAGAUAGAAAUAAUCCAAUGCAUCCUAUCUGAUCACCAUGGACUAAGGCUUCUGUUCAAUAACAACAAAAUGACAGAAACACAUAUAUACACGGAAGUUGAAGAAUGUUCUACUCAAUGAUAUCUGGGUCAAGGAAGAAAUAAAGAAAUUAAAGAACUUUUAGAAUUUAAUGAAAAUGAAGGCAGAACAUACCCAAACUUAUAGGAUAAAAUGAAAGCAGUGCUAAGAGGAAAACUCAUAGCUCUGAGUGCCUCCAAAAAGAAACAGGAGAGAGCGUACACUAGCAUCUUGACUGCACACCUAAAAGCUCUAGAACAAAAAGAAGAAAAACACCCAAGAGGAGUAGAAGGCAGGAAAUAAACUCAGGGCUGAAAUCAACCAAGUAGAAACAAAAAGGAUUAUAUAAGAAUCAACAAAACCAGGAGCUUGUUCUUUGAGAAAAUCAGUAGGAUAGAUAAACCCUUAGCCAGACUAACCAGAGGGCACAGAGAGUUGUCCAAAUUAACAAAAUCAGAAAUGAAAAGGGAGACAUAACAGCAGAAUCUGAGGAAAUGCAAAAAAAUUGUAAGAUGCUACUAUAAAAGCAUAUAUUCAACAAACUGGAAAAUCUGGAGGAAAUGUACAAUUUUCUAGACAAAUACCUAGUACCAAUGUUAAAUCAGGAACAGAUAUACCAUCUAAACAACCCCAUAACCCUAAAGAAAUAGAAGAAGUUAUUAAAAGUCUCCAAACCAAAAAGAGCCCAGGACCAGAUGAGUUUAAUGCAGCAUUCUAUCAGACCUUCAUAGAAGACCUCAUACCAAAUUGUCCAAAGUAUUCCACAAAAUAGAAAUAGAGCAUACCUAGCUCCUUCUAGGAAGCCACAAUUAGGCUUAUGCCUAAAACACACAAAGACCCAACAAUGAAAGAGAAUUACAGACCAAUUUCCAUUAUGAAUAUUGAUGCAAAAAUACUCAAUAAAAUUCUUGUAAACCGUAUCCAAGAGCACAUCAAAACCAUCAUCCAUCAUGAUCAUGUAGGCUUUAUUCCAGGGAUUCAGGGAUGGCCCUAUAUGGAAAUCAUCAACAUAACCCACUAUAUAAACAAGGUCAAAUAAAAACCACAUGAUCAUUUCAUUAAAUGCUGAGAAAGCAUUUGACAAAAUUCAACACCCCUUCAUGAUAAAAGUCCUGGAAAGAGCAGGAAUUCAAGGCCCAUACCUAAACACAGUAAAAGCCAUAUACGGCAAACCAGUAGCUAACAUUAAACUAAAUGGAGAGAAGCUUGAAGCAAUCCCACUAAAAUCAGGGACUAGACAAGGGUCCCCACUCUCUCCCUACAUAUUCAAUGUAUUUCUUGAAGUUCUAGCCAGAGCAAUCAGACAAUGAAAGGAGGCCAAAGGGAUACAAAUUGGAAAGGAAGAAAUCAAAAUAUCACUAUUUGCAGAUGAUAUGAUAGUAUACUUAAGAGACCCCAAAAAUUCCACCAGAGAACUACUAAGCCUGAUAAACAACUUCAGCCAAGUGUCAGGGUAUAAAAUUAACUCAAAUAAAUCAGUAGCCAUCCUCUACUCAAAGGAUAAACUGUCUGAGAAUGGAAUUAGGGAAAUGACACCCUUCACAAUAGUUCCAAAUAACAUAAAAAUACCUUGGUGUGACUCUAACCAAGUGAAAGAUCUGUGUGACAAGAACUUCAAGUCUUUGAAGAAAGAAAUUGAAGACCUCAGAAUAUGGAGAUCUUCCAUGUUCAUGGAUUGGCAGAAUUAAUAUAGUAAAAGUGGCCAUUUUGCCAAAAUCAAUCUACAGAUUCAAUGCAAUCCCCAUCAAAAUUCCAACUCAAUUCUUCCCAGAGUUAGAAAGACCAAUUGGUAUUUUUUAUUAUAUAUUUUAUGUCUUUACUUUACAAAUUAUCCUCUUCCCUCUCCCCUUCUCCCCUGCCCCUGCUUCUAUGAGGAUACUCCCACUCCCACCCACCCACACUCAACUCAUCGCCCUGGCAUUCCCCUACACUGGGGAAAUGAGCCUUCACAGGACUAAAGGCUUCUCCUCCUAUUAAUGCCAGACAAUGCCAUCCUCUGCUAUGUAUGCGGCUGGAGCCAUGGGUCCCUCCAUGUGUACUCUUUGGUUGGUGGUUUAGUCCCUGGGAGCUCUGGGGGAAUCUGGUUGGUUGAUAUUGUUGUUCUUCCUAUGGGGUUGCAAACCCCUUCAGCUCCUUUUUUUCUAUUUUGAAUUUUUUUCAGUUAAAAGGAGUUAAUUGUUUAUUGAACCUUUAAUUGGUCCUUUUUCUCCAUGCUAUUACUGAUUAAGGAAGACCACCAGGUGCUACUCAGAGGAAGUCUGCUAUAGAGUAAGACUUUGCACUUACCAUUUCUCUGAUAGUGCAAACAUAGAUGGACAAAUGUCUCAAUCCUUUCUUCUCCAUGCUCCAUGUUCUCUAAAUCAGCCAUCAUUCUAACUGUACUGCUUUAUUUCAGGCAAAUGGUCAUGCAAGAAUGAGCAGUAAGACUUUGCAAUAGCUCUCCUACCAAAAGGGAAAAAAUGGUAGAAAAAGUGUCCAAGAAUUACAGCUCACUUGAACAACUAUUUAUUUAUUACCACUCAAUUAAUUAUUUAAAAAUUGCAUUAAUAGUUCGUUAGAUAAAAUAAUGAAAAUUAAAAUAAGUUCUCUUAAAAACAAGCUGGUCCUUCAGGAAUAGUAAAUAAUUACUGAUGAAAUAUUUGACUGUAGUAUAAGAUAAAUAUCUUGUCUCGAAGAGACCACAAUGGGAGUCUUUUUUAUGAUUCUAAUUUUGAGCCUAAAAUGCCCCAGUGUAGGGGAAUGCCAGGGCUGGGAGGCAGGAGGGAGUGGUUGAGCAGGUGAAUGGGGAAGCACAGGGAGGGAUUUUAUCAAAGAGAAACUGGGAAAUGUGAUGACAUUUGAAAUGUAAACAAAGAAAAUUUCCAAUAGCAAAAAAGUGUAUUGAACCUAACAAGUUAACACAAUUGUUAACAUGAAUUCUGAAUUGUUGUAAAAAAAUGUUCACAAGAAUUUCUUACUGAUUCUUUAUUUGGUCUACAUUUUAUUGUAUUUUUACUUCCUCUUUUCUAUUCUUUUUUUUCUUGAACACAUCUCUGUAUUUCUUCUCUACUUGUGCUUCUUUUUCACUCUUUUUUUUAAAAAUACCUACCUUACAAUUAUAUAUUUCUUUUUCUAUGUGAACUAUUUGCCUCAAAACCACAUUUUAUAGAAUAU